UCACCGACAUCCACCUGCAGCUAUGUAAAUGUUAGCUCUAGCAGCAGUGUGCUGGUUAGAGUAAACUACAAACUGCCUGCUACACAGGCAAAACUGGCUCUGCAGAAUAUGUUAACCAGAAAUACUUCAGGAAUCAUGGAUCGGAUCCCCUGGUUCAGGGAAAAUGGAUCAGUGGCUGCCUCCUAAGUGACCCGUGACAAGACAGCCUGAUAAGUGUCAUCUCUUCACCUAAAUUUUGACCUUUCAUCUGAAGAUACAGUUUUAUGGUUAAGUAAAGUGAGGACCACCAGCCUUGGAAUCUCCUGCAGGUUUUUGUCUCGGUCCUGUUGCCUUCCUCCCUCUGUGCCUUGUAUUGCCAGACAACUCAGAGCUACUCUGUCCCUGAACUUAUAAUUCUGCCACAGCCUAGUCCUGAUCUCUUGAAGAACAGAACAUGACAUUUGCUCUCUGUUUUUGAUGUUGAUCACUGCUACAGCCAAUGUAGGUCUUUAUUUGGGUGUGAGCUUAUAGCACUGUGGCUACCUGGCACUAAUUGUCCUGGUGCAAACAAAUGUCACAGAUAUGAAGUAGUUGAUUCUGCUGUCACUUAGGAGACAUGUUGUGCAUAGCUGUGGUUGAGGAAGAACUUGUGCACAUGCUGGUGUUUUGGAGUAGCAAACAGGCAAAGGAAUUGCAGCUGGUGAUUUGAUUGACAUGGCUAAACAGGUAGGCGUUUCUGUUUUCAAUAAUAAAAUCCUGUGCAAUGUAAAUUAAAGACAGAGUAAACAGAUUUUCUGUGGUUUUGGGCAGAAAUGACAUUACGUCUUUUGCUGCUUCAGAGAUAACAUUUCUGUGGAUCUCCAGAGAGAGCAUUUAUAUCUGAAUUAUGAGACUUCUACUAUUUAACAGUGACUUCUGGGCUUGAAUUUUAUAGACUCUGGAACUAAACAGGUUUAAAAAAUCCAAUAUUUGUAACAAGAUUAAUAACAACUAUGAUUCCUUCCAUGAUAAAAUUAAACAAAACAAUAAAACCACCCAAACCAAACAACCUUAUCAUUAUUUUAAAGAAUAAAUGCAAAACCAGAACAAAUCCUUUGAUGAAAAUGCAACCAUGUUGUGUUAAUCAGUAUUUUCUGCUUGCUGCCUUUGCAGACUUGGUACCUGCAAUUAUCUCAAGCUUUGCUUGCACACACACUGUUAUUCUUUCUCAUUAACGUCACUAAUGUCUACUUGAAUUCCUUGCAAGCAGAAAGACAAAGUGUCAGUGAGCAGCGAGUGCAAGGAGUACUUGUCACCAUGGCUAAGUUUUAACGUAAAUCAGCGGAGUUAAUAUGUAAGCUUAUCUGAUGGCUUCAAAUGUGAAUGAAGUCCUAGCUGGAAAUACUGCUGCAGAUCAGCUUGUCCAAUUCUUGCAUAUUGCUAAAACACAAAGGAAGCAAAGAAUUUUCCCACUUGAUGAUGCUAUUUUUAUUUUUUUUCAAUGAAAGGUCAGAUACAACCCACAUUGCUUUCUCUCUCUUUAGCCUUCAGAGGCUGAGGAGCUCUGGCAGUCACAGCAGAACAGGUAUUUCUUUAGGAAAAGCAAAGAGGAAUCUUUUCCUGGAUUUUAAUGGGCUGACAAAAGACAACAGAGCAACCUGGACUGUUUGCAUGCAUACUGGCAAAUGGUGUGAGAGAGUUUAUUCUUCUGUGCAGUCCACUGGGCUUUGAGAGUGGGAUAUUGGUUCUGAGAACUGACUUAAGGGAGUUGUAACAAUGUGAUGUGUUUCCCACUAACUUCAAGUAUGACUAUAGAGACCUAAAGGUAAAUAUUUGUAUGUAUAUUUAUGUAAUUUAUAAAGGUGUCAGAACCUCAAUUUCACUUUUUCCUCAAGAAAAAGCCUUUUUACAGCAGAAAUCACAGGUCCUUUAAUGGAGGUUUCUGCUCUGGGUGCCAUAAUUCAUAGCUAGGAACCUCCAUUAUUAAUGAACCUGGUCAAGCAUCCAGUGCUGGAAGGCAUGGGAGUGAGGAAACAAUGCUGGCUACAGGCAAUGCUGAAGUAGGGCAGCGAAUGCUGAAGGGGCAGCUGCAGUGCCUGCUAAGCAUUUUACUAUUAAUGUGGGCCACAGGAAAGAGCUGGAUACACAGGUCUUUUCCAUCUUCCCAGCUGGAAUGUCAGAAACCAGUUUAACAGGAUGGUAAACCAGCAGAGUCAAAGGCUUACCAGGACAAAAUCUGGCCCUUCAUAAUAAGGCAGAUUAAACCAGUGCCACAUGAUUUUGUUUCUUAGAGGAAGGCACUGCCACAAGCUAUAUUCAGGUGAGCUUUUUAUUGCCUGUAACUCUGCCUUGGGUUAUGUCACCCAAACUGACAGGGAGCUUGAGCUGUUUUAUUUUCAAACCACAUCUCUGAGUACUAAUUACAUAUUUUGCAAGCCAUAUUUCAAACUCACAUGACUUAUGCUCUGUAUGCAAAUCUCAGAACUUAGUCUACCUAUGCCUCUGCCAUACUUCUCCUACUUUGAUCUGUCCAGGUUGCAACUCUCCACUCCUCAAAAAAUUGGUUUGAUAGGAGGAAAUGAGCAUUUCUAUCUCUUGGUCAAGGAGGAACACAGGCGUAAUGCAGUAGGAAAGUGGCUGGUUUGCUUUUAUUUCUGUCCAUGCAGCCAGAUUGAGUCAAUGCUGUGCUCCUUAAGCGGUGUAGUGUUACACAAUGUAGCGUAGACUUUGGGUGCAGAAUACUGAAGAGAGACAAACAUAGGCAGGGAAGUUAAUUCUGGUGACAUGGAUCAAACUUACACACACAGAUUGAAUUUUACACAUAUGUGUAUUUGCAUUAAACUGAUCCCAUGAAACAUAACAAAACCUCAUAUUACAUGAUACCAUAUGUAUUAUGUCACUCCAAUAUUUAGCCGAAAGCAAGCAAAAUCUUCUGCACAUCUCCUGAAAUCUUAAGAGAAUAUUUUAUUGUUCUAAUCUAGCUACUAAUUUUGUCCUUUAAAAGCUGCUACAGUAUUGUAUUUAAGAUAAAGUUUCCAGCUGCUACCUUGUUUCAAUGGAAUCAGUAUGAGACAAUGACAAGCAUCUCUGGUUUUGUUGCCUCAGGACUGAGUUGACCACUGUCAUCACAAAGGUCAGUCUGGAUUUCUUCUGCUGCUUGCAGCAUUCUUUUUGCUGUUUAUACAGGUAUCAAAAAUGAAAGAAUAGGGACAAAGUACUAAUUGCUUUCUGCACAGGUGGUAAGGAAGUACAAGCAGCAUAAAGGUCUUUCCCAGAUACCCUGCUAGAUAAUUGGCCACCCACAAAUGCAGUCCUGCUUAAGGUCUUCCCUCCUACCUGUGUUGAAUUAAAGAAAUAGGACAGCAGGAUAUAUAUUUCUAGUUACAUUCAACACAGUAUCAUCUCUGCUGCCAGUGAAAGCUGGAAACACAUGGAAAAACAGCUUCUGCUCAGGCAUUAGGCUCAGGCUGCAGUGCAUGGGGUGAGUUGGAGGGAACGUAUCCGUCUAGGACCUAGUGCCACCCCACUUGAUGGGAACAGCUUCAGAACUUCAUCUGCAUUGAGACUGCCUGCCUCAUUGCACUCAGCACAGCACCAUCAAAUAAGGGGAGAAGCAGUCCUAUUCAUACAGGAGGGAAAGGAUUCAAAACCCAUCUGUGUAUUAACAGCUGUGCAAGUGGCUGACUGAAUGACCUGAGGUUUCUAUUUCUAGCUGCUCCUUAUUCCCCACUAAAUAAAGUCUGAGGCAUCUUUGUCACUUCAUUUAUUACAGUUAAUCACCAUAGUAACCAAUAAAGUUCAGACUGAGUUCCAUGGAACUGGUAAAACUUAAAUGAAACAAAGAAACAAGGAAAACAAAGAAAUCCUUUGGAUUCCAAAUGCUUUACAGUUUCUGUAUGUUUGUAAAAGCAAAAGAAUCCCUUAACACUGAAAAUAGUAGUUAAGGCCUCUAUUUUAAUUUUGACCCAAUCUGGAACAUACUGUGAUUAUUCUGGAGUUACCCACUUAUUUUUUGUUUUUAGUGAGUGUCCAGCAAUCCUAUUUAUGUACAACAAAUAGUGGUGUUAUGUGCAUUAAAAACCCAGGCAUAGUUUCUGUCACAGGCCUUUUACAGCCUGAAUUAUCAAGAGGAGCAGGCAUAGAAGUACAGUUGGAGAAACAAGUAGACCCAGCAACUGUCUGCCUCUUGAUAAAUUCCUUUUAUAGGCUAUAUAGAUUGCAACAAAGGGUUUUCAGGAGAAUCCUGAAGAGGGAAGAUUUGCACAAGUUCGUAGGGUGAUUUCUAAGAUGUGGGAACAAGUUUGUAAAUGUAACUCCUAGGUCUCAUAACCUGCUUGAUAUAACUUUUGAAAGGCAGAGUCAUCAAGUCAGUAAUUAAUGAGAGGUGGUCCUCAGGAUCACUGUAUCACAGAAUCACUGAGGUGGGAAGUGUUCUCUAGAGGUCAUCUUGUCUAAAACCCCUGCUCAAGCAGAGUCAGUGAGAGUGGUUUGCUCGGGAUGAUGUCCAGGUGGGUUUUGAACAUCUUCAGGAAUGCAGCCUCCACAACCUCUCUAGGCAACUUGUUCCAGACUCAAAAUAAGAAAGUUUUUCUAACUUUUGAACAAAUUUUCUUGUAUUUAAUUUUGGUUCCAUUGGCUCUUUUCUUAUAACGUGAUUGUGCUGAGAAGUUCCUGAGAGAAGGUGUGAUGGUCUGUGAAAUGCUACAAAGAUCAAAGAACCUGUCUCUAUUUCUAUGUUAGAGGAAAAAAAGAAUGGUGAGACAUAUCUCAGAUGAAUACAGGCCAUAGGAGAGCAAGCUGUAUGAAUAGAAAUGAGUGGAACAAGAAAUACCUGUCCAUGGCAGGAUUCUGAUGUGGGAUGUCAGAGCUACUGAGACGUGAGAACUCAAAGAAAGAUGUUCUAUGUGAAUAGAACAUUCUAUGUGAAUAGUCUAUGUGAAUAGACUGAAAGACUAUCUCUUAGGAAGCAGUCUGGACCACAUAGCAGAAAGGCACAUUAUCUUUCGAUCCAUCUGAUAGAAAUUGUGAAUGAACUUGCCUAUUCUUCUUCUAUGAAAUCUACUAUAUAAAUUGAAGGCCGCUGUUUGGAUCCAGCUACAUGACCUGACAUGGUGGAGCUGCAGGAUCUCUGACAUGCAGCGUUGUCUUCUAUUCACUGAUUGCUCAUUGUCCAAGUCAUUUUGGCCUGCUCUUUCCAGCUCACCAGUGAAUUGUUGAACUGCCUCCUGCAUCAAACACAGCCUGUGAGCAUACUGUAGGAAGCCAGGUGUCUUCAGGUUGCUUCCUUCUUAUCCUGGGAUAUGUGUCAGCUUCACACAGUAUACUUAACCAUCUUGAACACCUGGGAGUAUUAAAAUCUGAGAUUAAUUUAAGAUUAGAUUAGCAUGAAGACUACUCAUAUAUAUGUACAUGUAUAUGCAUGUCUGACUAUUUGUAAAUAUACGCAUACAUGUUGAUGAGUAUAACAAUGUAUUGCAUAUUAAAAUAACUUUUACAUAUUGAAAUAGAUUUUUUAGAUAUUCUUAUCUUGGUGUUCAUGAAACUCAUUAGGCUCUUUUGACAUGAUUUCUUUAUUAUCCUCACUCCCAAGUUGCUUUUAAAUGCAACCUGUUUUCUCUAUACAGCUAUUUGGCUGAUUUAUUAUAACUCAUCUUCUUUUCCCUGGAAGUUUCUGACCAAAGGCUAAAGCACUAAAAAAAGUGAAGUUGCUGAGCAGUUUGUCUGCUGAUUCAGAUGAAAUGGCACUGCCCUGUCUGAUGAGCUGCUCUGUUCAGUCUGAUCUGCUCAAUCUGAUCUCCUCUGGUAGGUUAUCAAGGUGGUCUUCAUGUAACCAGAAUCUGGUUACCCAGGGCUUCAGAUCUUCAUAAGCAUUACUUCCACCAGAAGUUUAAAUAUCAUCAGAGGAACUGUGAAAGCAAGCAAACAGAUAAACAUACCUCAAAUUCAGCAUAUGCCUGUCACAGCAGAAAAAAAUGUUUGGUCCACAAAACUCUAGUAUAGUAGAACAGAGUCCUGUAAAUAGCAAAAUGAUGGCUUGAAAUAUGAGUAUUUUUCUUGGUUAUCCCAGAGGGAGCUGGCAAUUACAGUAUCUGAGCAUACAAACCUCUCACAAGAACCUCAGCCAGUGCCUGAAGCCUGAUUGUUAGAAACGAUUUUACUCUGAAGUCAUACUCUUGUUGCUCACACACAGGACUUUAUUCAAAAGGAUGAUCUCGGUUCAGGGCUCCCUGCUAGAGCAGCAGUAAGUUCCUUGAGCAAAGGCUACUUUUACUGUCUGGAGUAGCAGGGGUAGAAUGCUGAAUGUGUGCAAGAGAGUAAGGAAAAAAGUCAGAUUUGGUAACAGAUUAUUAAAUUGUUCUCUGAACCUUCAUAGGGCCUUAGAGCAAUAGAAUAUCCUGAGUCAGAAGGGACUCACAAGGAUCAUUGGGUCCAGCUCCUGACCCUGCACAGGACAGCCCCAAAUAUCACGCAGGGAACAGUGUAGAUGCUUGCUACUGGUCCAGUAGUGAUCCUUGUUUCUCAGGGAGUAUGGCUGGCUUCUUGAGUAUCCCUCCUGUUUCCACAGGAAUGUAGACAAACAGUAAAUUUCAAUUUUGGCCUUGGUUUUGUGACUGAAAUGGAAAUAGAAGACACACAAAUAAUCAUCAUACUUACCAACAGUGUAAAUGUGAAUGGAAAGGGGAGCACGGUUUUAUGGUGCAGGACCCACUUCCUUUUGCUGGGAGAUUAAACAGAACAUUUCCUGGUUCAUUCCUGGCCAAAGUGAGCACAGCAGGAGCACUGGUCUUACAUCUUCUCUGAAUGACUUCAGCUGAGAGCCAGAUUUGUUUGUCAUGGUGUCUGUAUUAUUGUGCUCAUUCACAGCACUGAAAGGACCAGUGCUUUUGGGGCUUUUUGUGUGAAUAUUGGAAUUAUUUGUUUCUUUCUGUACCUAGAAAAUGUUAUGUAAUAUCACAUCAGCCUAUGUAACAUGGUGCAACAUUGUGUAAGGCUAUUACAUAUGCCCCUUGGCAUGACAGAAAAUGAAAAUGGGAUUCAAAUUGUUCCCUUCAUAUUUGAAAUAUCCCAAGGCGUAUUUUUGAACUAAAAUUCUAAAUUACAUGAAGGAAGGCUGAGUGGGUAUUAGGUAACCAGCAACAUCCUGGACAAAACAGCAGAGAGAAAGGCUUCUGCUUUCUUUACAAAAGGAGAGUUUGCAGGCCAAGGCAGAUCUGUUGUGUCUGAAAGUUCCUCAUGGACCUGACAGUACAAUUUCUUUGAAGUUCAUCACGCUAUUUUGCACUAUUACAAUAGGAGUCAAAGUUAUGGUCAGAUCUGUGUAUUUUUAGAUAUAUACGAUUCAGUACACAACAAUUAUUUGGAUUCUGAUGAAAUAUUAAUGCCUUGUGUAUGUAUUAGUUUCAUAAUUUGAUAUUAUAUAUUUGAGAGCUAUGAGUCAUUUUAGAUGAAGUUUAUUUAUAACAUCUUAGUCAUAGGGCAUAGUGCAAUUAUGCCAAGGAAAUGAGGUAAAUAGGAAGAUUAAGUACUAACCAGCUUAAUAAAGUCAAAUUCAGAUUUUGAAAGUACAAUUCCUAUCACCUCUGUCUUCCAAAAUAUUUCAGAGUAAAAUUUCUGCAGUGAGAACUGAGAUCCAUGAGCUAUAAAAUGUAACAAAUCUUUCCUCCUGUAUUUCUUCUGUACACUUUCUCUGCUGUUUUGGAUGAAUGUUUAAGUCUUUUCCUGGGGUCUAGGAAGCUGGCUCUGAGUGGCCCUCCCUGUGUGAUGGUUGGACAAGAUGACCUCCAGAAUUCCCUUCCAACCCCAGGCAUUCUGUAAUUCCAGGAAUAAUCUAGAUGUGUUUAUUGUUCUUGCCAAUGAUUUCCAAAAAACUUCUACCCCAUUACUAUCUCAGAAAUGUUGCUGCAGCUGUCAGCUUUGACUAAAGCUGGUGAGCAGCUUCAGAAGCAUUUGUAAGGACUCUCACAGUCUGCUAAUGGCACUGGAAUAUUUUUCUCAAUUCCUAGAAAGUCCAGUCCCAAGAAUGUAUGGCAUAAAAACAAUAAAACUGUUACAAAGAAAUCCAUCUAGUCCUUCAUCUUUUCUGCAACCCUGGACAUAAGUAAGUACUUUGGGAACAGCAAUAACAAUAUAAAUUUCUUUGAUACAGCUUCCAGAAUAAAUUUUUUUCUAUGUACACACCCAGUUUCCUGGAGAGCUCAGAUGAUCUGUAGUCUGAUGUCUUUGGGCAGUGACUUUCAUAAUUGUAGCACCUGCUGCACAAAGAACCAGCUCUCAUUUUACCUUGCUUUACCUUGCUCCCACCAUCUUCAUUUGAUGGGCCCUUGAUUUUUACUGAGUGGCUGAAAUCCUGAUGUCCCUUCACUCUCUCCAAGGCAUGUGUAACAUUGUCAUGUUGUCACUGUCAUUUGUUGUCAUGAGUUGUCUCUUCCCCAAGCUGAGGGGUCCCAACCUACCCAAACAUCCUUGUGCCAAAACAAUUACCUACCUUAGAAAGUACUUGUUGUCCACUUUUAAUUUUUUUGAUUAUUAAGAAGAAAAGUGACACAAAAAGUGACCAAAAAAAAGAGGGAAAUGGGAAUCAAUCUCAUCCUUACAUGGGCCUGGGCAUGUGUUCCUCGGUGACAGAAUUAAUUACAAGUUUUAGUGCAGUAUGUCUGUUUUUCAGACAUUCCUUGCACUAUUUGAAAAUACAGCUGCAAAUGUUUUCUGUGGCACAGAAACAAUUUAAAGACCAACUUUUAAAUAAAUGGGCCACUGAGUUUGUGAAUGCCUUCCAAAGCUUCUGAGGCAUGGCAGUGUCUGGGAUUUUACACUGUAAAUCAAACCAACUUUUCAAAAUGACACAAAUUAAAACAUUGGCCAAGCUGUAUGAACAUGGGUGGGAGGAAUAAAAAUAAGAUUCUAUCAAAAGCUGUCUCAAUGGAUACAAACUCACAGGGGGGACAGGUUAUUUCCUCCUUUAACUCAUUGGAUUAAAUACAUUGGAUAAAAUAAAGCAUAUGUAAGCAAGAAUAACUUGAAUUUUUGGUUUCAGUUUAUCCUGGAGUACUACAACAAGUGAUUCAAAGGAUAUGCUCUUCCAUAAACUGCAUCUGUAGUGAUAUGAUCAGGAUCUGGCUGUGAGCAUGCUUUUGCCGGUGGAAGCAAAAAGUUUUGUCUUGGAAGCUGACAUAAGGGAACGGAUCAACGUGUUCUGAUGUUCAGUGUAGCACUGGUUAACAUGAAGAACGGCACUAAACGCCAUCAUUAGACACAAUUCAGAUAGCUGAAUGCCCAGUUUUGUUCAAUAAAAGUGAUGUAUUGAUAAA
Poecile atricapillus (Black-capped chickadee) is the source of this 9266-nucleotide long non-coding RNA. RefSeq lists it as uncharacterized. The transcript is spliced from 5 exons. Lineage: Eukaryota; Metazoa; Chordata; Aves; Passeriformes; Paridae. The record is from RefSeq and is a predicted model, not a curated record.